GUCUUUUAGAUAAUAAUUUAAAGUCUAAUCUGNUCCAUGAAUUAUUUUAAAUAGCUGCAGUAAUUUGACUGUACAAAGGUAGCAUAAUCAAUAGUUUUUUAAUUGAAAGCUGGAAUGAAUGAUUUUAUGAAAUAUUAACUGUCUACAAAUUUAUUUAUAGAAUUUUUUUUAUUAAUAAAAAAAUUAAUAUGAUUUUAAAAGACGAGAAGACCCUAUAGAUUUUUAUUAAUUUAAAUAUAAUUAUUAUUUAUUUAAUUUAUUAAUUAAUUAUAAUUAAAUUAAUUUAAUUGGGGUAAUUUUUAAAUUUAAAUAAUUUUAAAAUUUUUAAACAAUAAUUCUUGAAUAAAUGAUCCUAAAUAUAGAUUAAAAAAAAUAAAUACCUUAGGGAUAACAGCGUAAUAUUAUUGGAGAGAUCAUAUUGAUAAUAAUGAUUGC
RNAcentral lists this ribosomal RNA (435 nucleotides) under Diplazon laetatorius. Its description in RNAcentral is "partial 16S ribosomal RNA". Lineage: Eukaryota; Metazoa; Arthropoda; Insecta; Hymenoptera; Ichneumonidae. The record is from RNAcentral.